RNAcentral lists this ribosomal RNA (440 nucleotides) under uncultured bacterium. RNAcentral's name for it is "partial 16S ribosomal RNA". It matches the Rfam family "Bacterial small subunit ribosomal RNA", at positions 338 to 795 of the family's 1533-position model. The record is from RNAcentral.
CCUACGGGGGGCAGCAGUGGGGGAUAUUGCACAAUGGGGGAAACCCUGAUGCAGCGACGCCGCGUGAGUGAAGAAGUAUUUCGGUAUGUAAAGCUCUAUUAGCAGGGAAGAAAAUGACAGUACCUGACCAAGAAGCCCUGGCUAACUACGUGCCAGCAGCCGUGGUAACACGGAGGGGGCAAGCGUUAUCCGGAUUUGACGGGGGUAAAGGGAGGGUAGGAGGUUAUGUAAGGCUGGAGUGAAAGCCCCGGGCCCAACCCCGGGACUGCUUUGGAAACUGUGUGACUGGAGUACAGGAGGGGCAGGCGGAAUUCGUGGUGUAGCGGUGAAAUGCGUAGAUAUCAGGAAGAACACCGGCGGCGAAGGCAGCCUGCUGGACUGAAACUGACGUUGAGGCACGAAAGCGUGGGGAGCAAACAGGAUUAGAUACCCUAGUAGUC